Salvia splendens (bonfire salvia) is the source of this 1080-nucleotide long non-coding RNA. RefSeq lists it as uncharacterized. The record is from RefSeq and is a predicted model, not a curated record. NCBI's taxonomy places the organism in Eukaryota, Viridiplantae, Streptophyta, Magnoliopsida, Lamiales, Lamiaceae. The transcript has 3 exons.
AUAUAAAUUGUUGGGUAUGUCAAAUUGAUUAUUACAAAGUUGUAGACCAAAAUUGCAUCAAUUGUUGGGUCUAUUGUUGUUGGGUGAAAUUGUGCACACAAAGUGUUUGUUGAUUUGUCCCAUUGGCCUAGCACCUUACUUUCACUUAUCUUUUGGCUUCUAGAACUAGUAAUUACUUGCCUAGUUGCAUAUUUUGUUUGUGAAUUGUGCUACCCUUGUGGAUUAUCAUCCUGAGAGCAAGUGAGGGAGAGUAUCCUAGCCACCAAAAUUUCUAAGCCCUCCGAGUGACAUUGGGUGUGUGUUUUGGGGAAAAGGGGUACAAAAUAUAGGAUGUGAGCUCCUCACUAAAUUAUCAAUUCUCGAGUGUGUGUGUUAUUUGUGUUACUAACAAAAGGGACUUGUCCCUAGUUUUGUACAUUUUGUUUUGUAGGUACAUCAAUAUGGGUUCGUAUGCCGAGUCCUCAAUUGAGGAGAUGUUGGCCACUUUGAUAAAUAAGGUCGACAAGAUUGAUACACGUGUGUCCACAAUGCAAGCUAGUACAUCUACCAUGCUUAAAGAUAGUGUCUCUAUAAACAAGCAAGUUCAUCCAAGAAACACUACUUUGAGUUGGAAAGGCUUUAACCCCCGACUUGGUGGUGGUGACACGAGCCAAAGGAGUAUUUCCCCAAAGAAGGUGGACGUAUCUCAUUCUAGCUAUCGAACGAAGGUUUCGUCGUGGUUGUCAUCCAAUUUCACUCCUUGUGUUGCAUUUUAAUCUAUUGCCGGGCUUAGAUUGAAUGUCAAGUUUGCAGAAAUGGGAACCUCCUCCAUCGGGCACUCUUAUGAUGAAUAUUGAUAUAAAUGUUAUCCAGAAUGGUCGAGUUGGAUUGGGGGUGAUCUUUAGAGAUGAAAAGAGGAUGGUUGUCUUCCCUUGUAAGACUGAACUUAGAGUGGAUGGGUCAACGACAUUGAUGGAAGGGGACUACAUGGUGAUGUGGAUCUUGAUUCCUACAGUGAGGUUGUGAAAGAUGACAUCUUGGCUAUUGCGAGAAGAGUUGACGUCGUCGAUUUUCAAUUCAUCCCUAGAGCUUGUAAUCGUG